AGAGUUUGAUUAUGGCUCAGGAUGAACGCUAGCUACAGGCUUAACACAUGCAAGUCGAGGGCAUCGGGAAGAAGCUUGCUUCUUGCCGGCGACCGGCGCACGGGUGAGUAACGCGUAUCCAACCUUCCCCUUAGUAGCGGAUAGCCCGGCGAAAGUCGGAUUAAUACGCUAUGUUAUCCGAAGAGGACAUCUGAAUUGGAUUAAAGAUUGAUCGCUAAGGGAUGGGGAUGCGUCUGAUUAGGUAGUCGGCGGGGUAACGGCCCACCGAGCCAACGAUCAGUAGGGGUUCUGAGAGGAAGGUCCCCCACAUUGGAACUGAGACACGGUCCAAACUCCUACGGGAGGCAGCAGUGAGGAAUAUUGGUCAAUGGACGAGAGUCUGAACCAGCCAAGUAGCGUGCAAGGAUGACGGCCCUAUGGGUUGUAAACUGCUUUUAUGCGGGGAUAAAGUGCACCACGUGUGGUGUUUUGUAGGUACCGCAUGAAUAAGGACCGGCUAAUUCCGUGCCAGCCGCAGC
RNAcentral lists this ribosomal RNA (518 nucleotides) under uncultured bacterium. RNAcentral describes it as "bacterial SSU rRNA". It matches the Rfam family "Bacterial small subunit ribosomal RNA", at positions 8 to 518 of the family's 1533-position model. The record is from RNAcentral.